This 309-nucleotide ribosomal RNA is filed under the name Tychiodes sp. D0111. Its description in RNAcentral is "partial large subunit ribosomal RNA". The stretch from base 175 to 309 matches the Rfam family "Bacterial large subunit ribosomal RNA", at positions 2473 to 2608 of the family's 2925-position model. Lineage: Eukaryota; Metazoa; Arthropoda; Insecta; Coleoptera; Curculionidae. The record is from RNAcentral. RNAcentral also lists the same sequence under 1 other name.
GACCCUAUAGAAUUUUAUAUUUUUAUUUUAAAAGGUAUUAGUAUUUAAAACUUUUAUAAGAAAAAGUAUUUGGUUGGGGUGAUUGAAAAAUUGAAUAAACUUUUUUUGUAUUUAUACAUAAAUAAGUGGUUAUAUGAUCCUAUUAUAUAGAUUAUAAGAAAAAAUUACCUUAGGGAUAACAGCGUAAUAUUUUUUAAGAGUUCUAAUCGAAAAAAAUGUUUGCGACCUCGAUGUUGGAUUAAAAUUAAGUUUUGGUGUAGAAGCUAAAUGAUUAGGUCUGUUCGACCUUUAAAAUUUUACAUGAUCUGA